UCUCAGUUCGGAUUGCAGGCUGCAACUCGCCUGUAUGAAGUCGGAAUUGCUAGUAAUCGCGGAUCAGCAUGCCGCGGUGAAUACGUUCCCGGGCCUUGUACACACCGCCCGUCACACCAUGGGAGCCGGUAAUACCCGAAGUCAGUAGUCCAACCUCGUGAGGACGCUGCCGAAGGUAGGAUUGGCGACUGGGGUGAAGUCGUAACAAGGUAAC
RNAcentral lists this ribosomal RNA (214 nucleotides) under uncultured bacterium. Its description in RNAcentral is "partial 16S ribosomal RNA". It matches the Rfam family "Bacterial small subunit ribosomal RNA", at positions 1286 to 1500 of the family's 1533-position model. The record is from RNAcentral.